UAGAAGGAUGGCUAUACUGGAAACUACGGGCUGAGCUGAUACGAAGACUACCCAUUGGUGUAGGUAUUGUAUUAGAAUAACC
RNAcentral lists this transfer RNA (82 nucleotides) under Pinus pumila (dwarf Siberian pine). RNAcentral describes it as "tRNA-His". Lineage: Eukaryota; Viridiplantae; Streptophyta; Pinopsida; Pinales; Pinaceae. The record is from RNAcentral.